Molecule: ribosomal RNA, 998 nt
Filed under: Klebsiella pneumoniae BIDMC 42a
Lineage: Bacteria; Pseudomonadati; Pseudomonadota; Gammaproteobacteria; Enterobacterales; Enterobacteriaceae
Description: bacterial LSU rRNA
Rfam family: Bacterial large subunit ribosomal RNA
Source: RNAcentral
GCCGUAACUAUAACGGUCCUAAGGUAGCGAAAUUCCUUGUCGGGUAAGUUCCGACCUGCACGAAUGGCGUAAUGAUGGCCAGGCUGUCUCCACCCGAGACUCAGUGAAAUUGAACUCGCUGUGAAGAUGCAGUGUACCCGCGGCAAGACGGAAAGACCCCGUGAACCUUUACUAUAGCUUGACACUGAACAUUGAGCCUUGAUGUGUAGGAUAGGUGGGAGGCUUUGAAGCGUGGACGCCAGUCUGCGUGGAGCCAACCUUGAAAUACCACCCUUUAAUGUUUGAUGUUCUAACGUUGGCCCCUGACCGGGGUUGCGGACAGUGUCUGGUGGGUAGUUUGACUGGGGCGGUCUCCUCCCAAAGCGUAACGGAGGAGCACGAAGGUUAGCUAAUCCUGGUCGGACAUCAGGAGGUUAGUGCAAUGGCAUAAGCUAGCUUGACUGCGAGCGUGACGGCGCGAGCAGGUGCGAAAGCAGGUCAUAGUGAUCCGGUGGUUCUGAAUGGAAGGGCCAUCGCUCAACGGAUAAAAGGUACUCCGGGGAUAACAGGCUGAUACCGCCCAAGAGUUCAUAUCGACGGCGGUGUUUGGCACCUCGAUGUCGGCUCAUCACAUCCUGGGGCUGAAGUAGGUCCCAAGGGUAUGGCUGUUCGCCAUUUAAAGUGGUACGCGAGCUGGGUUUAGAACGUCGUGAGACAGUUCGGUCCCUAUCUGCCGUGGGCGCUGGAGAAUUGAGGGGGGCUGCUCCUAGUACGAGAGGACCGGAGUGGACGCAUCACUGGUGUUCGGGUUGUCAUGCCAAUGGCACUGCCCGGUAGCUAAAUGCGGAAGAGAUAAGUGCUGAAAGCAUCUAAGCACGAAACUUGCCCCGAGAUGAGUUCUCCCUGAGACUUUAAGUCUCCUGAAGGAACGUUAAAGACGAUGACGUUGAUAGGCCGGGUGUGUAAGCGCAGCGAUGCGUUGAGCUAACCGGUACUAAUGAACCGUGAGGCUUAACCUU